Molecule: ribosomal RNA, 592 nt
Filed under: uncultured eukaryote
Lineage: Eukaryota
Description: bacterial SSU rRNA
Rfam family: Eukaryotic small subunit ribosomal RNA
Source: RNAcentral
UUGUCAUAUGCUUAUUUCAAGGACUAAGCCAUGCAAAUGUAAGAGUACCUGUGUUUCGGCACAGGGGGGUCUGUGUACGGCUCAUUAUAAGGUUAAUAGUCUACCCAACGAAGGACGUUUUCUUAGCGUUCCAACGGGAUAACCGUGCUAACCGUACGGCUAAUACCACGGGUGAAGAUUCCGCGACCAUCAAACCAGUAGGGGACGAAAGUUUUCCUGCUGGGGUCUCGGAAGCUGUUGGCCGAGACAAAGACCAACGCCGCUCAAACGGCAGGUGUAAUUGUUGACGCAGGCCAACGAAGCAGAAGCGUCGCAGGUUCCUGCGACGCGUUGUUGGACGAAUUCACCACCUAUCAGGUUGUAGGUAGUGUAGUGGACUACCUAGCCAUUGACGGGUAACGGGGAAUUGGGGUUCGAUUCCGGAGAGGGUGCCUGAGAAACGGCAACCAUGACUACGGACAGCAGCAGGUGCGCAAAUUGCCCAAUGCUAACACUAUAACUAGCGAGGCAGCGACGAAAAAUAGCAUUCCUACCGGCAUUCGCCGUUAGGGCUUGCAAUGGAUUGUAUCUACAAACACUGCUGAAAACCAUU